Molecule: ribosomal RNA, 1598 nt
Filed under: Bubalus bubalis (water buffalo)
Lineage: Eukaryota; Metazoa; Chordata; Mammalia; Artiodactyla; Bovidae
Description: bacterial LSU rRNA
Rfam family: Bacterial large subunit ribosomal RNA
Source: RNAcentral
GACGCCCUUGGGGUGUUGUUGGGUAGGGGAGCGUCGUGCACGUGUUGAAGCAGCCUGGUGACGGUGUUGUGGAGUGUGUGCGAGUGAGAAUGCAGGCAUGAGUAACGAUUGAUGAGUGAGAACCUCAUCCGCCGGAUGACUAAGGGUUCCUGGGUCAAGUUAAUCUUCCCAGGGUGAGUCGGGGCCUAAGGCGAGGCCGACAGGCGUAGUCGAUGGGAAUGCAGUGAAUAUUCUGCAGCCAGUGGAUGGUGACGAAUUGCGUAUGUUGUCUGACCUUACUGGAUUGGUCGGGCCUCGAAGCAGUUCCAGGAAAUAGCCUCCACAUUAGACCGUACCCGAAACCGACACAGGUGGACUGGUAGAGUAUACCAAGGCGCUUGAGAGAACUAUGUUGAAGGAACUCGGCAAUUUACCUCCGUAACUUCGGGAUAAGGAGGCCCAUUGCUCGCGCAAGCGGGCAGUGGGGGCACAGACCAGGGGGUGGCAACUGUUUAACAAAAACACAGGGCUCUGCGAAAUCGUAAGAUGACGUAUAGGGUCUGACGCCUGCCCGGUGCCGGAAGGUUAAGAGGAGAGGUGCAAGCCUUGAAUCGAAGCCCCGGUAAACGGCGGCCGUAACUAUAACGGUCCUAAGGUAGCGAAAUUCCUUGUCGGGUAAGUUCCGACCUGCACGAAUGGCGUAAUGACUUCCCCGCUGUCUCCAACAUAGACUCAGUGAAAUUGAAUUCCCCGUGAAGAUGCGGGGUUCCUGCGGUCAGACGGAAAGACCCCGUGCACCUUUACUGUAGCUUUGCGCUGGUAUUCGUGACUGUUUGUGUAGAAUAGGUGGUAGACUUUGAAGCCAGGGCGCCAGCUCGGGUGGAGUCGCAAUGUGAAAUACCACCCUAAUGGUUAUGGAUAUCUAACCGCAUCCCGUCAUCCGGGAUCGGGACAGCGCAUGGUGGGCAGUUUGACUGGGGCGGUCGCCUCCCAAAGAGUAACGGAGGCGUGCGAAGGUAGGCUCAGAACGGUCGGAAAUCGUUCGUCGAGUAUAAUGGCAUAAGCCUGCCUGACUGCGAGAUCUACGAAUCGAGCAGAGACGAAAGUCGGUCAUAGUGAUCCGGUGGUCCCGCGUGGAUGGGCCAUCGCUCAACGGAUAAAAGGUACGCCGGGGAUAACAGGCUGAUGACGCCCAAGAGUCCAUAUCGACGGCGUCGUUUGGCACCUCGAUGUCGGCUCAUCUCAUCCUGGGGCUGAAGCAGGUCCCAAGGGUAUGGCUGUUCGCCAUUUAAAGAGGUACGCGAGCUGGGUUUAGAACGUCGUGAGACAGUUCGGUCCCUAUCCGUCGUGGGCGUAGGAAAUUUGAGAGGAGCUGUCCUUAGUACGAGAGGACCGGGAUGGACAUACCUCUGGUGUACCAGUUGUCGUGCCAACGGCAUAGCUGGGUAGCUAUGUAUGGACGGGAUAAGUGCUGAAAGCAUCUAAGCAUGAAGCCCCCCUCAAGAUGAGAUUUCCCAACUUCGGUUAUAAGAUCCCUCGAAGAUGACGAGGUUAAUAGGUUCGAGGUGGAAGCGUGGUGACACGUGGAGCUGACGAAUACUAAUCGAUCGAAGACUUAA